CUUGGAAUGACUUUUCAUAGGUAAGAAUAGUUUUUGGCUCUUUUUUCAUUAUGAACUCUUGUUGAGAGCUUCCAGUCUAUGAGAGCUAACUAGUUAGCCACUAGCAAAACGCUAAGGCGAGCUAGCAGCUUGACAACCAAAUACCAGACGAUUAAUAGUAGCUGUAGUAUAGUUGUACAAGCAGUAGUAGUAAUACUAAAAGUACAAGCAGCAGUAGUAGUAUAAACAGCUAUUAGAGUCAUAGAAGUAGUAUCAGCAUUUGUAAUAGUAUUACAAGUUGUAGUAGCAGUGCCAGUAUCAGCAGCAGUAGUGAGUGUACUACUAGUAGUAGUCACAUUGCUAUUACUACCACCAAUACUACCAAUAGUAGUUAUAAAGCCUAACUCAUGUAUAUCCAGAUUACCAUCUAUGUUCUUCCUCCAAACCCAUUAUAUGAUUGGGAUUACAGGCAGUUCUUUAGGACUGCUCUCAAAUAAUUGAAAUGUUACUAAACAAGGUUAUACUUAUCAAAUUAAAUAGCUCUGGUCUCCAGUAUAUUGGCGAAUUCGGUUCUUUGUACUUAAUUUAUUAGCAUGAUUUCUUUUUAAUAUGUUUUGUACAGACUUAAUUAUUUCUCUGUCUACUUUUCUUACUCCAUGUAGGUUUCCCAGAGACUAUGGGUUGAGGAGGAAUUGGAAGUUUGUCGGCUUAGACCUGGUGUCAUUCCAUCGGUGUUAAACUUCCCGGCUCAUCUUGGAAGAGUACGUGCCAGAAAGACCACGACCAAGCAGCCUUGAGAUCUUAGGCAGCGUCUCCCUCAGCCACCAACCACUGGAACACAUCUCCAAAGUUCUGCUGGGCCAGCUCAGCUUCCCCUCAGAAGAAGUGCCGCCACCUGCCAGAUGAAGGAGCCUUUUGAGAGGCAGCUGGCAUCGUGAUUGGACUGUACUUUGGUCUGUUCCAAUCCAGCUUCAGCUCCAGAGACGGCAGGCGGGACGAGUCAACGGAGGCCUGGUGGACGAAGGCAUGCAGCUGAGUACAAUCCAGAAAACAACAAAGGAGGAGUGCAGCGGCUCAGGACCAGAACAACCAGAGUAGCAGGACCAAAGAACUACAGACUCUUCACAACCUGCUCAAACUCUUGGUACAGGACCUCACCACACGGGUCAAGAAGGUUUCCUUCUCCUCAUUUCUACUCUGAAGCUCACCUUCUCCUGCUCAAACUGCUGACAAAUGUUUCUGCUGCUCUAAAGUCUGCUCUCCAGAACUUCCUAUAAAAACUUAGUCUCUUCUGCUGCAGGUUGCUUUGUAGAACUGUUGCAGAAAACCUCACUAAACCACAUGGAGGGGCCUCAAGAUAGUCGUCCAAAUGAAACCAUACAAAAACCAAA
Amphiprion ocellaris (clown anemonefish) is the source of this 1370-nucleotide long non-coding RNA. RefSeq lists it as uncharacterized. NCBI's taxonomy places the organism in Eukaryota, Metazoa, Chordata, Actinopteri, Pomacentridae. The transcript has 3 exons. The record is from RefSeq and is a predicted model, not a curated record.